This is a long non-coding RNA of Lepidothrix coronata (blue-crowned manakin), 690 nucleotides long. RefSeq lists it as uncharacterized. NCBI's taxonomy places the organism in Eukaryota, Metazoa, Chordata, Aves, Passeriformes, Pipridae. The record is from RefSeq and is a predicted model, not a curated record. The transcript is spliced from 4 exons.
AGCACAGCACGUCGAAGCUGACCCACACGAGGCACAGCUCCCGGCCCAGCCGCCACCGCCGCCCGGCCGAAAGCUCCUUCACCAGGCUCAGCGGCAUCACCAGCGCCGCCACCAGCGCGUCCGACACCGCCGUGGAGGCCACGAGGUUGUGGGGCACCCGGUGGAAGGCCUUCACCCGCAGGAUGGUCGCCAGCACCAGCAGGUUCCAGAGGAAGGUGGCCACGGUCAUAUGGUGCUGUUGAGAAAUAUCCAAAGGGAUUAGAAGAAAUUGAGCAUCUGUAAACAAGACCAAAGAAGAUUGAAAAGUCCUAUGAAAGCUUCAUACAGUUUUGCUACAGAUCAUCUGCAAUAGGGCUUAGUACUGUGAAUGCAGUUCUUAAGCUGGAUGACACAGAUAUAGCAAAGUGAAUGUGUUUCUAGACAGCACCCCAAUUUUCCAUUUGUCUUCCCUUCUCUUAAUGGCAUCUUUACCUCUCCUCACAACUCCAUAUCAAAAGUUUAUCGUGCUGGCUGAGAAAAAGAAAAUGUAAUCUCUUCCCCACAUGGCUGUGCAAUAAAGAGAUUUGACAGAAGCAACAUCAUGGUAUUUAUGAUUUUGAUGGAAGAAAGCAGAUUUUUUAGAAGCUAAGAGCAUUCCAGUUCAGGAGGCUGGGUUCCCAUUGUCAGAGCUCAACAUCAUCUAUAAAUCUA